GAUGAACGCUAGCUACAGGCUUAACACAUGCAAGUCGCGGGGCAGCAUGGGGGUUGCUUGCAAUCCCCGAUGGCGACCGGCGCACGGGUGAGUAACGCGUAUCCAACCUGCCCUUCACCACGGGAUAACCCGGCGAAAGUCGGACUAAUACCGUAUGUUGUCCAUUGACGGCAUCCGAUUUGGACGAAAGGCUUGGCGGUGAGGGAUGGGGAUGCGUCCGAUUAGCCAGACGGCGGGGUAACGGCCCACCGUGGCUACGAUCGGUAGGGGUUCUGAGAGGAAGGUCCCCCACACUGGAACUGAGACACGGUCCAGACUCCUACGGGAGGCAGCAGUGAGGAAUAUUGGCCAAUGGGCGUAAGCCUGAACCAGCCAAGUAGCGUGCAGGAUGACGGCCCUAUGGGUUGUAAACUGCUUUUAUGCGGGGAUAAAGUGGCCCACGUGUGGGCUUUUGCAGGUACCGCAUGAAUAAGGACCGGCUAAUUCCGUG
This 490-nucleotide ribosomal RNA is filed under the name uncultured bacterium. Its description in RNAcentral is "partial 16S ribosomal RNA". It matches the Rfam family "Bacterial small subunit ribosomal RNA", at positions 28 to 507 of the family's 1533-position model. The record is from RNAcentral.